RNAcentral lists this ribosomal RNA (163 nucleotides) under uncultured bacterium. Its description in RNAcentral is "partial 16S ribosomal RNA". It matches the Rfam family "Bacterial small subunit ribosomal RNA", at positions 393 to 539 of the family's 1533-position model. The record is from RNAcentral.
GACGCCGCGUGAGGGAAGAAGGUCUUCGGAUCGUAAACCUCUGUCAGAAGGGAAGAAGUGAUACACGGUCAAUAUCCGUGUAUUUUGACGGUACCUUCAGAGGAAGCACCGGCUAACUCCGUGCCAGCACCUUCGGUGACUGAGCGGGCUGGCAAGGCGCAUA